UGUUGCAGUUAAAAAGCUCGUAGUUGGAUUUCGGAGUGGGCCAGUUGGUCCGCCGCAAGGUGUGUUACUGACUGGUUUGCUCUUCUUCGCAAAGACUGCGUGUGCUCUUCAGUGAGUGUGCGUAGGAUUUACGACGUUUACUUUGAAAAAAUUAGAGUGUUCAAAGCAGGCUAUUGCUUGAAUACAUGAGCAUGGAAUAAUGGAAUAGGACUUUGGUCCCAUUUUGUUGGUUUCUAGGACCGAAGUAAUGAUUAAGAGGGACAAUUGGGGGCAUCCGUAUUUCGUUGUCAGAGGUGAAAUUCUUGGAUUUACGAAAGACGAACAACUGCGAAAGCACUUGCCAAGAGUGUUUUCAUUAAUCAAGAACGAAAGUUAGCGGAUCGAAGACGAUCAGAUACCGUCCUAGUUCUAACCAUAAACGAUGUCGACUAGGGAUCAGCGGGCGUUACCGUACGACCCCGUUGGCACCUUACGGGAAACCAAAGUUUCUGGAUUCCCGGGGGAAGUAUGGUUGCAAAGCCUUGAAACU
RNAcentral lists this ribosomal RNA (529 nucleotides) under uncultured marine eukaryote. RNAcentral's name for it is "SSU rRNA". It matches the Rfam family "Eukaryotic small subunit ribosomal RNA", at positions 611 to 1144 of the family's 1831-position model. The record is from RNAcentral.